AGAUUACAAAAAAAAUCUAAGAAUUUGAGAUCCUCUUCCUGUAGGAAGUCGCUUCAUAACUUGGGAUGAAUAUCAAAAUUGAGCACCAUCUAUUACCAACGAUUUCGUACGGUAUUUGAAUAAGAAGGAACUUAAGAGGAAGAGGAAGACCGAGGAAUAACUACAUGGAACAGAUAAAGGAAACACUAGGUGUCAUGUCGUAUAGGGAGAUCAAGGAUAUGGCCUGGGAUAAAACUGGCUGAAAGAAGAUGCAUGAAUUAGUUGCACCGACAAGAGGAAACUCUUAAAUGAAAAGAAGAAGAAAGGUGAAAAUAGAAUAGUAACCCCGCCUGCGCUAACGGGAUUCGCUGGCGGAGCACCAGCGAAGGGUGAUAGAUGAGAAUGAAAUAAGGCCAGUUAGCCCAUCAUGAUGAAUUCAUCAGGAAUUAACCGUGAUAGUUUCCAGGGGGAACCGCGAGGAGGUCGACCUGGUUGGGUAUAUUGCUAGCAAUGGGAUUCUCAGUCUCUAUUACUAACAAUCACUUUCCCCCCCCCCCCUGUCAGCUUGUAUUUUAUGUCGCAUAAAAACUACUUCUAUCGUGGCAAACACAGGAUUAAAGCAAAUCUAUAAUAAAAAUAAUCAUCGUAAUCGGGUUAGAAUGUCGCCAGUUAAUAACAUCACGUAAUAUUUAUACAAAAAAUACUGAUAGAGAAACAUCGCUUUUUUAAGUUGGUUAAAAAUAAAUUGCAUAUAAGCCUCGUAAGCUAAAAAUUACAAGUUUCUUAAUUCAGACGAGUAUUUUUCAUUUUUUUUAUAAUAGUCGAAUAAUGAUUCGCUAUAAAUCCAGUGCGGUACAAAUUUCACUUUUGUUCAUGAUUGCUUUCAUUCAGCUUAUCAAAGGGCGACUGGAAGAGAUCCCUUUAAGGAGAUAAGUCCGCCAUUGUAUAGAUUUAUUUCAUGUCAACAUUUUUACUUUCCUAAACAGUGAGGAUUUAACGAACAAGCAAUCUAUUCACAGUCCAUUUAUUUAGACAAGGAUAUUUUUUUCACAAAAAAGCGCCCUUAGUAAUUUUAUAUAUUUAUAUACAUAUAUAUGAUAUUUAUACA
Galleria mellonella (greater wax moth) is the source of this 1087-nucleotide long non-coding RNA. RefSeq lists it as uncharacterized. NCBI's taxonomy places the organism in Eukaryota, Metazoa, Arthropoda, Insecta, Lepidoptera, Pyralidae. The record is from RefSeq and is a predicted model, not a curated record. The transcript is spliced from 3 exons.